RNAcentral lists this long non-coding RNA (754 nucleotides) under Daucus carota (carrot). RNAcentral's name for it is "long non-coding RNA (DCAR_LNC000601)". Lineage: Eukaryota; Viridiplantae; Streptophyta; Magnoliopsida; Apiales; Apiaceae. The record is from RNAcentral.
CCAAUGACAACCACCAAGGCGUCCCAGAGCCACCCCUUCCAACCCAUAUCUUCCUUAUGAGCCAUCCAAUGGAACAAAGCAGGCAGCACAAAUCCUAAUACCACACAAACACUACUCCCAACAAGUGACAAGAAAUCGGCAAAAUUAGGUACCAAAAGGGCAAUGAAGGUCAAUACCAAAACCAUCAACCAUCUCAGCCACAAUGUAUACCUUCCUUCACAAACCCUCCUCUCCACAACCUCAUAAACCGGAUUCAUCAUCAACGGGAAGGAGAAAAAGAGAUUCACACAUAACCCGAGCUGAACAAAAGUACUCAACAAUCCCGAACCCAUGUUGGUGGUAAUUAUAUCUCUAGUAUCCUCCCCAAAUGCGAAAUAACCCAAAACUCCAAAUGAACCAAACAUCAAAGAAAUAAAAGCCAUUGCCAAUGCCAAAGUGAUCCCAAACUUGUCCUUGUCUCGUAUCUCCGAUUCCAGAGGCAAAACCNCACCCCUUCCAACCCAUAUCUUCCUUAUGAGCCAUCCAAUGGAACAAAGCAGGCAGCACAAAUCCUAAUACCACACAAACACUACUCCCAACAAGUGACAAGAAAUCGGCAAAAUUAGGUACCAAAAGGGCAAUGAAGGUCAAUACCAAAACCAUCAACCAUCUCAGCCACAAUGUAUACCUUCCUUCACAAACCCUCCUCUCCACAACCUCAUAAACCGGAUUCAUCAUCAACGGGAAGGAGAAAAAGAGAUUCACACAUAACCCG